GGGGCUGUAGCUCAGUUGGGAGAGUACUUGACUGGCAGUCAAGGGGUCGUGAGUUCGAAUCUCACCAGCUCCACCA
This 76-nucleotide transfer RNA is filed under the name Terriglobia bacterium. Its description in RNAcentral is "tRNA-Ala". It matches the Rfam family "tRNA". Rfam says of the family: Transfer RNA (tRNA) molecules are approximately 80 nucleotides in length. Their secondary structure includes four short double-helical elements and three loops (D, anti-codon, and T loops). Further hydrogen bonds mediate the characteristic L-shaped molecular structure. tRNAs have two regions of fundamental functional importance: the anti-codon, which is responsible for specific mRNA codon recognition, and the 3' end, to which the tRNAs corresponding amino acid is attached (by aminoacyl-tRNA synthetases). tRNAs cope with the degeneracy of the genetic code in two manners: having more than one tRNA (with a specific anti-codon) for a particular amino acid; and 'wobble' base-pairing, i.e. permitting non-standard base-pairing at the 3rd anti-codon position. Lineage: Bacteria; Pseudomonadati; Acidobacteriota; Terriglobia. The record is from RNAcentral.